CGGCGUUGGUGGAGACGGUGGCGGUGACGGCUACAACGACGACGACGACUACAGCUCCGCGAUGAGUACGAGUUCAGUUCAACUACACCUACUCGUUGACGCACAUGUGUUCCGGCCAUCGAACGUUGCGGGAUUCAAUUUUAUAAUUUCGAACAAUUUUUUCAAAAUAUUUUCUUCCCGCCAAUACCGACGAAACGCUCUUAGCAUCAUUUUCACAUACUUUCCAUCGGUCAUAUAUUAUUAUUACAAUAUUAUAAUUUUAUAUACCUACACGAUGUGCAGCAGUAUAGGAAAUAGCGUGUGGUUGUGCUCGAAAAUCGAUCGAACGAAAAACCAUCAAAGCUGUCAACCAGGAUUAGACGGUUCUAACAGCCGACCUAGACCUAUAACGGCUGUACAAAACUGAAGGAAUAACGCUUUUCAAAAUCAAAUCGACCUGCAUAUGCAAUACGCAGAAUUCUGCCACACCGGAACUAAAAUGAAGACUUCGACCGACAUUACCAUCAACAGGCCGAAACCAUUGUUUCCAAAACCUAGUUGCUAAAUAAUCAUGAUUUAUUAUAUUAAUAAAUCUAAUGUAUAUAAUUAAAUAUAAGUACUUUUCUUCCCUUGGUAGUUCGAAAUGGAAGUUUCAAGAACAACCCCUACUACGUUUCAGUUAGGCAAACAAACUAACUUUUUGUAUUUUUUACUUGGUACCUGAAAUAAGUUUGCCUUUCGUACGGGGUUGAUUGAAAUCUUACUUACAUUGUGCUACUAUUACUAUCUUUCAUUAUAUUUUGUCUGUAAUUAUUUUUAUAUUUAUUUAAAUAUAUAUAUCAUUGAUG
This is a long non-coding RNA of Melanaphis sacchari, 827 nucleotides long. RefSeq lists it as uncharacterized. The transcript has 3 exons. NCBI's taxonomy places the organism in Eukaryota, Metazoa, Arthropoda, Insecta, Hemiptera, Aphididae. The record is from RefSeq and is a predicted model, not a curated record.